GGACAAUGGGCGAAAGCCUGAUCCAGCCACGCCGCGUGAGUGAUGAAGGCCUUCGGGUUGUAAAGCUCUGUCGGGAGGGAAGAAGAUCUGACGGUACCUCCCAAGAAAGCACCGGCUAACUCCGUGCCAGCAGCCGCGGUAAUACGGAGGGUGCAAGCGUUGCUCGGAAUUACUGGGCGUAAAGCGCACGCAGGCGGCCUGCAAGUCGGAUGUGAAAGCCCCGGGCUCAACCCGGGAACUGCAUUCGAAACUGCUGGGCUUGAGUUCGGAAGAGGGUGGUGGAAUUCCUGGUGUAGAGGUGAAAUUCGUUGAUAUCAGGAGGAACACCGGCGGCGAAGGCGGCCACCUGGUCCGAUACUGACGCUCAUGUGCGAAAGCGUGGGUAGCAAACAGGAUUAGAUACCCUGGUAGUCCACGCCGUAAACGAUGAAUGCUAGGUGUUGGAGGUAUUCACCCCUUCAGUGCCGAAGUUAACGCAUUAAGCAUUCCGCCUGGGGAGUACGGCCGCAAGGUUAAAACUCAAAGGAAUUGACGGGGG
Molecule: ribosomal RNA, 538 nt
Filed under: uncultured bacterium
Lineage: Bacteria
Description: bacterial SSU rRNA
Rfam family: Bacterial small subunit ribosomal RNA
Source: RNAcentral